This 164-nucleotide small nuclear RNA is filed under the name Ochotona princeps (American pika). Its description in RNAcentral is "U1 spliceosomal RNA (ENSOPRG00000018029.1)". It matches the Rfam family "U1 spliceosomal RNA". Rfam says of the family: U1 is a small nuclear RNA (snRNA) component of the spliceosome (involved in pre-mRNA splicing). Its 5' end forms complementary base pairs with the 5' splice junction, thus defining the 5' donor site of an intron. Lineage: Eukaryota; Metazoa; Chordata; Mammalia; Lagomorpha; Ochotonidae. The record is from RNAcentral.
AUACUUACCUGCUGGGGGAGAUACCAUGAUCACGAAGGUGGUUUUCCCAGGGUGAGGCUCACCCAUUGCACUCCGGGUGUGCUGACCCCUGCGAUUUCCCCAAAUGUGGGAAACUCGACUGCAUAAUUUGUGGUAGUGGGGGACUGCGUUCGCGCUCUCCCCUG